GAUGGUAUAGCUCAGUGGUAGAGCACAUGCUUAGCAUGCAUGAGGUCCUGGGUUCCAUCCUCAGUACCUCCA
Molecule: transfer RNA, 72 nt
Filed under: Camelus ferus (Wild Bactrian camel)
Lineage: Eukaryota; Metazoa; Chordata; Mammalia; Artiodactyla; Camelidae
Rfam family: tRNA
About the family: Transfer RNA (tRNA) molecules are approximately 80 nucleotides in length.
Source: Rfam by way of RNAcentral